CCUAUCUCUGUUAACAAACAACCAGAAGAGCAUGUAAUGUUAUAUGGAAGAGAUUCAAAACAGACAAAGAUGUUUUCCAGUACAAGAAAAAAGAUGCACCUUUCAAGAACAAACUUCCCUUCUUUAUACUUCUGGCUUUCCUCGUGCGCAGCCUCCUGCAUGAAGAGUGCUAGUUGUAAACAAAAUUUCCGGUGUAGGUAAAUCAUGCAUAUGCAAUUGGUAACACAUUUAUAUGGCUAGAGGAGUAACUAUUUCUCUCCUCUUUUUGUGUGUGUGUUUGUUAUGCAAUUGGUAACACAUUUAUAUGGCUAGAGUAACUAUUUCUCUCCUCUUUUUGUGUGUGUGCUUGUUUUGGUGUCUAUGUCUACAUGUAUGAGGAGAGACAGAGAGAGAACGAAAGGGAAUACAUAUUUCCAGCCAACAAUUUGCCCACAACAGCAACAAAAUAUAUCUGCUACCGUGUGCAUCCCAGAAAGCAUCACCCUCUCCUCCUGAGGUCCAAUAGUUACGUUCACCCUGAAUCACAAAGUCAAGCGGAUCCAGUCAGACCUCUGCAUACAUAUCAAAUGGAGUACAAUUGCAAAGAGUUGGUAAGCUUCAACUCAACAGCCAUGUUCAAUGCACAAAAUCAAGUUUCCGAAUGCUGAUGUUUGGUGCCUUCAAGUGGUAAGGUGUUUCGUUUAACUGGAGACCUUAUUACAAGAUAGCCAGAAACAUAAUUCAUACGGUUGUUUAAGGAGGAACGUAUAUCAGUUGGAUAAUGUUUCUUAUUUGGUAUCUCUCUCCCCUUCUCUUUUGGAAUAAAGUCUUCUUUCGUUUCUUCUGAAUUACUGGAGCAAGCAUGUUAUGUGAAGAUUAGAAAUCCUUUUGUGCAAUUGAAACUAGAAAUCUUUUUCUUUCCUUUUUCAGAAAGGAGAAAAUGUGCCUUUCUUAGAAAAGAAGAUUAGCUGUGAACUGCUUGAAAUGAGGUUAUAUUGUUAUU
This is a long non-coding RNA of Solanum dulcamara, 982 nucleotides long. RefSeq lists it as uncharacterized. The record is from RefSeq and is a predicted model, not a curated record. NCBI's taxonomy places the organism in Eukaryota, Viridiplantae, Streptophyta, Magnoliopsida, Solanales, Solanaceae. The transcript has 3 exons.